Molecule: ribosomal RNA, 447 nt
Filed under: uncultured bacterium
Lineage: Bacteria
Description: partial 16S ribosomal RNA
Rfam family: Bacterial small subunit ribosomal RNA
Source: RNAcentral
CCCAGACUCCUACGGGAGGCAGCAGUGGGGGAUAUUGCACAAUGGGGGGAACCCUGAUGCAGCGACGCCGCGUGGGUGAAGGAGCGUUUCGGCGCGUAAAGCCCUAUCGGCAGGGAAGAAGGAGGACGGUACCUGACUAAGAAGCCCCGGCUAACUACGUGCCAGCAGCCGCGGUAAUACGUAGGGGGCAAGCGUUAUCCGGAUUUACUGGGUGUAAAGGGGGCGCAGACGGCAGCGCAAGCCAGGAGUGAAAGCCCGGGGCCCAACCCCGGGACUGCUCUUGGAACUGCGCGGCUGGAGUGCAGGAGGGGCAGGCGGAAUUCCUGGUGUAGCGGUGAAAUGCGUAGAUAUCAGGAGGAACACCGGUGGCGAAGGCGGCCUGCUGGACUGCGACUGACGUUGAGGCCCGAAAGCGUGGGGAGCAAACAGGAUUAGAUACCCUGGUAG